GCAUAAUAAUUUGCCUCUUAAUUAGAGGCUAGCAUGAACGGACACACGAAAGUUUUACUGUCUCAGUCUUAUACACUAUAAACUAAACUCUAAGUGAAGAUGCUUAGAUAUAUUUGAAAGACAAAAAGCCCCUAUAGAGUUUCAGGCUUUUUCUACUUUAAUAAAUCCUUUAAUUGGGGCGAUUAAGGAUUACAAAAAACAUCCUUCAAUAACCUCGAAACCUGUUUCUCCCCUCAGAUCCAUACACAUGAUCCUAAAACAAAACUACCUUAGGGAUAACAGGCUUAUCUUUCUACCAAGUCCAUAUUACAAGAAAGGUUUGGCACCUCGAUGUUGGCUUAGAGUAACUAGUUAUUGCAACCGAUAACUGAGUAAGUUUGUUCAACUAUUAAACCUCU
RNAcentral lists this ribosomal RNA (398 nucleotides) under Polynoidae sp. 655-5 PB. RNAcentral describes it as "partial 16S ribosomal RNA". It matches the Rfam family "Bacterial large subunit ribosomal RNA", at positions 1959 to 2597 of the family's 2925-position model. Lineage: Eukaryota; Metazoa; Annelida; Polychaeta; Phyllodocida; Polynoidae. The record is from RNAcentral.